Molecule: ribosomal RNA, 315 nt
Filed under: Triticum aestivum (bread wheat)
Lineage: Eukaryota; Viridiplantae; Streptophyta; Magnoliopsida; Poales; Poaceae
Description: partial small subunit ribosomal RNA
Source: RNAcentral
CUGUUUCUCUCCUGCAGCUUCACGCAGCGGCUCUGGACGGCGUUCCAGGGGUGGACGGGUGUUUCCUUCCCUACGCCGGCUAGCAGUUUUGAGUGCUCCGAGUCAUGGUGGCUAGAGGCGAGAAAAGCAAUCCCGAAGCAGAUGCGCCGAGACUUCGACACCAUUGUCAUUCUCAUCCAUUGGAGGAUCUGGAAGGAGCGGAGCGCUCGAAUUUUCCAGCAGACGGCUUGUAAUAUUGACAGGGUCCUAGACCUCAUUAGAGAGGACUUAGGUGUGUGGAGAUCUGCGGGGUGUGUAGCAGACCUGGGUAGCUGA